AAUUUUGGACAAUGGGGGAAACCUUGAUCCAGCCAUCCCGCGUGUAUGAUGAAGGCCUUCGGGUUGUAAAGUACUUUUGGCAGAGAAGAAAAGGUACCUCCUAAUACGAGGUACUGCUGACGGUAUCUGCAGAAUAAGCACCGGCUAACUACGUUCCAGCAGCCGCGGUAAUACGUAGAGUGCAAGCGUUAAUCGGAAUUACUGGGCGUAAAACGUGUGUAGGCGGUUCGGAAAGAAAGAUGUGGAAUCCCAAGGCUAAACCUUGGAACUGCAUUUUUAACUGCCGAGCUAGAGUAUGUCAGAGGGGGGUAGAAAUCCACGUGUAGCAGUGAAAUGCGUAGAUAUGUGGAGGAAUACCGAUGGCGAAGGCAGCCCCCUGGGAUAAUACUGACGCUCAGACACGAAAGCGUGGGGAGCAAACA
Molecule: ribosomal RNA, 422 nt
Filed under: uncultured bacterium
Lineage: Bacteria
Description: partial 16S ribosomal RNA
Rfam family: Bacterial small subunit ribosomal RNA
Source: RNAcentral